UAACUGUGAUGUUCCACUUUGUAGGAGAAAGUGGGGAUCACAGUUAAGAGAAUCCAGCUUAAAAAAGAGAGAGAGAAAGAGAGAGAAGCCAGCUAGACCUUUCAUCUGCCUUAAGAAAUGCGAAGAGAAACUUGACAACUUCUGAAAGUUCCAGCUGGCAGAAUAUAGCUGCUGUCAACAAAGAGAACACAAUGAUGGUGGCGGAUUCACCUGAAGAAAUGCAGGAACAUAGAGUCUGCCUGGAAUAUCAUAACUGCUUGCCUUUCAGUGGAAAGGAACAAUUUGGUACACAUAACCAAGAAAAAUAUAGAACAACUCGAAGUUGUGAAACUCUUCACAGACAUGCUUUCUGCCUCAUCAGUACUUUGGCCAUAGUUAUAUCUGUGGUUAUACUUUCUGUU
Long non-coding RNA from Sorex fumeus (smoky shrew), 401 nucleotides. RefSeq lists it as uncharacterized. The record is from RefSeq and is a predicted model, not a curated record. The transcript has 3 exons. NCBI's taxonomy places the organism in Eukaryota, Metazoa, Chordata, Mammalia, Eulipotyphla, Soricidae.